AUACGGAGGGUGCAAGCGUUAUCCGGAUUCACUGGGUUUAAAGGGUGUGUAGGCGGACUAUUAAGUCAGUGGUGAAAUCCCCGGGCUCAACCUGGGAACUGCCGUUGAUACUAUUAAUCUUGAAUUCUGUUGAAGUGAACAGAAUACAUCAUGUAGCGGUGAAAUGCUUAGAUAUGAUGUAGAACACCGAUUGCGAAGGCAGCUCACUAAGCAGCGAUUGACGCUGAGGCACGAAAGCGUGGGGAUC
Molecule: ribosomal RNA, 247 nt
Filed under: uncultured bacterium
Lineage: Bacteria
Description: partial 16S ribosomal RNA
Rfam family: Bacterial small subunit ribosomal RNA
Source: RNAcentral